RNAcentral lists this ribosomal RNA (174 nucleotides) under uncultured bacterium. RNAcentral's name for it is "partial 16S ribosomal RNA". It matches the Rfam family "Bacterial small subunit ribosomal RNA", at positions 338 to 524 of the family's 1533-position model. RNAcentral also lists the same sequence under 1 other name. The record is from RNAcentral.
CCUACGGGAGGCAGCAGUGGGGAAUAUUGCACAAUGGGCGAAAGCCUGAUGCAGCGACGCCGCGUGAGGGAUGACGGCCUUCGGGUUGUAAACCUCUUUCAGCAGGGAAGAAGCGAAAGUGACGGUACCUGCAGAAGAAGCGCCGGCUAACUACGUGCCAGCAGCCGCGGUAAU